GCAUUUGCAGCAACAUGGAUGGACCUAGAAAUUAUCAUGCUGAGUGAAGUCAGCCAGACAAUGAGACACCAACAUCAAAUGUUAUCACUAACAUGUGGAAUCUGAAAAAAGGACAGAAUGAACUUCUUUGCAGAAUGGAUACUGACUCACAGACUUUGAAAAACUUAUGGUUUCAAAAGGAGAUAAUUUGAGGGGGGUGGGGGGAUGCACUGGGGUUGUGGGAUGGAAAUUCUAAAAAAUUGGAUUGUGUUGAUCAUUGUACAACUAUAAAUGUAAUAAAUUCAUUGAGCAAUAAAAAAAGGAUGAUAGAGAAUUUUAGAGGAGCUAAAAUAUUAAAGCGGUAAUGAUGUGAAUAAAAAAAAAAAAGGAAAGCACUAUAAGAACAAUAAAUAACGGAGUUCCUGUUGUGGCUCAGCAGGUUAAGAACCUGCCAUAGUGGCCAUGAGGAUGCAAUUCCUAUUCCUGGCCUUGCUCAGUGGGUUAUGGUUCCACAGUUGCCGCAAGCUGUGGUUAGGUCACAAAUGUGGCACAGAUCUGGUGUUGCUGUGGCUGUGGAGUAGGCUUCAGCUAUAGUUCUGAUUCAACCCCUAGCCCAGGAACUUUAAUACUUCCAUAUGCUGCAGGUGUGGCCAUAAAAACAAAACAAAACAAAACAAAAUGGAUGCUUCUGUAUGUCUGGCAUCACAGGAAAACAAGGGGAUAGGUGUCAAGAUUGGACAGAAAAAAAAUAAACAAAAUCAACAUUCUCAUCUUCAGAAAACUUUGCAUAAAGUUUACAAAAAGUAUGCAUUCUAGGAGUUUACCUGUAAUCCCAUACACUCCUAGAAUGCAUUCUUCAUGUAUCUGCAGUCUUACAGGACACUGAUGUGGCCAGUGACAGAUAAUGUCCAAAAAAAAAAAAAUCACCCUUUUUUAAAAAUUGUGAUCAACUUUCCUUGAUCAUGAUUUUGUGUUCUGGAAUUUUUAAAAAUACUCAAUUCCAAUUCUGCAACACAUUGUGGAAUGCAUCUGGGCUGUCAAUGGGGUCAUCCAGAAUCCAGCAACUAUCACAACAAUACUCAUUAACCACUUUAAUUGGGACAAAGAGAAGCUAAUGGAAAAGUACUUUGAUGGAAAUCUGGAGAAGCUCUUUGUUGAGUGUCAUGUAAUUAAUCCAAGUAAAAAGUCUUGAACAUGCCAGGUGAAUUACAAGGUCAUCAGCACAGGAUAUGCCUUGUCAGAUCUGCUGCUUGAAUUACCCUAACUCGUAUUUCACUGGCCUUGAAUGUGGACAUAAGUUUUGUAUGUAGUGAUGGAGCAAAUAUUUAACUACCAAAAUAAUGGAAGAAGGAAUGGGACAGACUAUUUCGUGUCCUGCUCAUGGUUGUGAUAUUUUAGUGGAUGACAAUACAGUUAAGCAACUGAUCACUGAUUCAGAAGUUGAAUUAAAGCAUUUAGCAUUUAAUAACAAACAGCUUUGUAGAGUGCAAUCAACUGUUAAAGUGGUGUCCUGCCCCAGAUUGCCAUCAUGUUGUGAAAGUUCAAUAUUCUGAUGCUAAACAUGAUCGCUGAAAAUGUGGGUGCCAGUUUUGCUUUAAGUAUGGAGAAAAUUGGCAUGACCCUGUUAAGUGUAAAUGGUUGAAUAAGUGGAUUAAAAAGUGUGAUGAUGACAGUGAAACUUCUAAUUGGAUUGCAGCUAACACAAAGGAAUGUCCCAAAUGCCACGUCACAAUUGAGAAAGAUGGCAGUUGUAAUCACAUGAUCUGUAGUAACCAGAACUGUAAAGCAAAGUUUUGCUGGUUGUAUCUUGGUCCUUGAGAACCACAUGGAUCUGCUUGGUACAACUGUAACUGCUAUAAUGAGGAUGAUGCAAAGGCAGCAAGAGACAAAGGCAGCAAGGAUGAUGCACAGGCAUGAUCAAGGGCAGCCCUGCAGAGGUACCUGUUCUACUGUAACUGCUAAAUGAACCACAUGUAGCCUAUGCUUAGAGCACACAUUCAAGUGAAGUAGAAAAUGGAGGAGAUGCAGCAGCACAACAUGUACUGGACUGAGAUGCAGUUACUGAAGAAAGCAGUUGAUGUCCUCUGCAAGUGUCAUGUCACUCAUGUACACUUAUGUCUUCGCUUUCUACCUCAACAAGAAUAACCAGUCUAUUAUCUUUGAUAAUCACCAAGCAGAUCUAGAGAAUGCCACAGAGGUACUCUCGGGCUACCUUGAACAAGAUACUUCCAAGACUCUGCAGGCUACAAAGCAGAAAGGACAAGAUAAGUACAGAUACCGUGAGAGUCGAUGAAGGGUUUUGUUACAGCAUGUGCAUGAAGGUUAUGAAAAAGGUCUGUGGGAGUACACUGAGGACUGAGAAAUGGCCCUGCAUAAAAAGAACUCUGAAAACUUUACCAUCUAGAGUACUCACACAAUUAAAACAAACAAAACAAAACAUACGCAAACAAGGAGGCACUAAGCCUAUGCUGACACUGCUGGUCUGUAGUACAAGAAUUCUUUUUUGUUAGCAGAAAGGUUAAGUAAAUUAUAUUGUAAUAAAAAAGGUAGAUAAACCAUUGUACAACAGUAUUCUAGGCCACCAACAAAGUGUGACAGACACACUAAAAGACCUCCAACUGUAACUUGUAACAUAGAUUCAUUCUCAAAGCUGACUCUUUUUCUUUUUCUUUUUCCUGAGUAUAGUACAGUUAAGAUUUAAAACAGCACCUUGACACUGCUUUUCAUGUCCAAACCAGCCAUUCUGUUGUACUUUGGUAAAGGACCUCUUCCCCUUCCUCCUCGACACAUGCAAAUACACCCCCACACACAGACUGUCUCUCUCUCAUCCCCCAAGGUUGUGUGUGAAUGAUGGUUCUUUGUAAAGAAAAUUCUUGGGGCUGGGAAGAGGGUAGGCAGAAAGAAGAAUUAAACUAACAAAAAAUAACACAAAAAAACUUUGCAUAUGACUUUUAAAACGAGAACACAAUGUUUAUCAAAAUUGUAUACAGCACAUUUGCAUGGACAAAGUACGUGUGGCACGUGCUUGCAUAAUGUUUAAUUACAAAAAUCAGUUAAACGGAUCUCAAUUAGGAUUUCCUCUGGGAUUUACCACCACAGUCUAAUUAAUUACUAAAUAGCUUAACAUCCAUCUAACUCAGGACCCAUAUAUUAAAUUCUCCAAGUUGCUAAAUUGUUUACUAUAAUUAGAAAUCUUAGAAGAGACCAGAACUGUCGUAUAAUGGCAUGCCUUAGUGCAAGGCGCAUUACUUCAAUAUCAAAUAUCUUUCUCCCCUUUUUCAACUGUCUUUAUUCUACUUGUCCUCCAAGAUUCAGCUCAGAGAUGAUAUACUUCAAAACACCUUGCAAGAAACUCCUCCCAGGCUGGCCUAAAUGCCUUUGUUACUUACUGCUAUCUUGCCAUUUCAAAGAGAAGUAAUCCACAACAUGUCUGUCACACCCAAUAUUUUCAGGGUGAAGAGUCUGUAUCUCUAAGAAAAAUCAUGUUUUUGUAUUAUUUUAUUCCCUUUUAUUUAGAUCAUGAAUAGUAAACUGCAGUGAAAACCUCCUUUCAACUAGAUAUCCUUCUUCAUGUAGAAGACAUUUUACCAUUCAUUCAACAAAUAUUGAUUUAUCAACCACCAUGUCCCAAACACAAGUUGUUGAGGAUUCGAUAAUGAAUUACCACAGAAAAUUAAAAAUCAUUUAAAGCAGGUGACAGACCUUGCUAGUUAUAGUGAAUAUGUGUUGUUUGCUUCACAUAGGACAUACAGGACAAGAAAUUGGGCACAAAUGGGAAAACUCUUAGAAGGCAUGAGUCCAAAUCCUCCUUUUACACAUUUUUGAACUGAGACCUGGGGAUGAGAUAUACCAUGUCUGAGAGCACAAGAUGCAUUAAUGUAGGAGACAGAGACUAUCCGAGCUCUAGUUCUCUUUGGUGCUCUUUAUGCUUAGAAUGUUGCUUUAUGAAUCAUGUUUUCCAGCUUGCUUUUGUUAAGUAUAACUGCUAUGAAAAAAAAGAUUAUUUUUCCCCCAGGAUGGAAACAUGAACAUCUGAGAACUUUCUAAAACAUUAAUUCAACAAAUACAUGUUGAAUAUUAGCCAUGAGUCUAUAUAUCGUGUAAGUCUAUAUGUGAUACUUCCUGCCCAGGUUGUGAAGUUUUCUAAUUUCAUGUAAAAGUUCAUGUACCAAUUAUUAUAUUUAAUAUUUUAAUUCCAAAUGCUCUCAAGAAUAAUUUUUUAAACAUUCAAAACUUAAAUGAUGAAUUAAUGUUUCAGGCUCUACACCUUAAAUUGAAAUAAGUUGGCCAUAUAAAGAGUGGUUAUAGUAAAAAGAUACACAGUUGACCCUUUGAACAGCUUGGGUUUGAACUGCAUGGAUCCACUUAUACAUGGAUUUUUUUUCACCAACACAGAACAGACUUCAGUACUGCUUGACUGGUGGUUGGUUGAAUCUGUGGAUGUGGGAAUCACAUACCAGUAGUUGGCUAUAAUGUUGUACUUGAAUUUUUGACUGCACAGUGUUGGGGGUGGGGGGGUACCCCUGGCCUUGUUCAAGUGUAAACUGAUUCAGCCUUGAAUGAUAAAAUCUGAAGCUUUUGCCUCAAAGAGAAUAACUUUUUAUUGAGAACAUAUUUUAUGGCAGGUAUGGAUACAAGAAUUUCACUAUACCUUGUCUAAUCCUCACAACAGCAAUACAGGGUUAACAUUUUUAUGCCAUAUAGUUUGGCCCAAAUACAGAUCCAGAAAUAAAAGGGCUUAAAGAAAGUGUCUAACUUGUUCAGCUUACACAGCUAGCCAGAACCAGGAAUCAACCCAGGUUUACUUGUCCCUAGGCCUACCUGCUUCAAUUUGAAUCCUUAUAUUUCUCAUCAGAGAGAAUGACUUAUUUUCAAAAGUGGCAAUUUUCUUGACUACGUCAUAUUAUCAAAAUUAUUUGGGGAGAAGAAAUGUAUGGUACCUAAAAUGAGAAGUUUCACUUGCACAGACUUGCACAGACAUGCACACGUGUGUGUGUGUGUGUGUGUGUGUGUGUUUGUCCACAUACAUAUAAUCUUGAGUCCUGAUAACCCAAACAUUUUCUGUAAGAAAGAGUUAUUUACAACAGCAAAUUUAUUAGGAUAAAUGACUCCUAUGUAAUUGUAUCUUGGGUACUUACGGAGAGUAACAGCUUUAUGAAACAUAGUAACCUCAUGUUACAAAAUUUUACAUCAUUUUAUUAUUUUAUUUGGGAGAUUAAAAAAUGUACUUAAAGUUGGUUGAGGGCCUGAUUUAGAAUUCAACUGGUUUAAAGCUUGGUAGAAUUGAUAAUUUUUCAGAAAGACAGACAACCUCUUUUAAAGAGUGGUAUUUCUAGCUACACUCUGUAUGGGUUUUUGUUUUUGCUUUUUUUUUAAGCAUGGAUUAUGAGAUUUGGCCCAAAUACAGAUUUGGCCUUAAGAGAAAAUAUGUGUAAAACCUGGUGAAGAAGAAGGAAUUGUACCAACAGAAAACCUUAACAACACCAGGAAUUGCUGGAGAAGGACAUUAAUGGAAUUUUCCCCUAGAAGCUCUAAUGAUGCUAUUUGCAGAUGAUGGAUUUGGGCCACCAUUGGUAGAAGGAGGUGACUCUCUUGAAACAAGUCUGGGAAAAAUGAGUGGGUAUGUCCAUGCACAAAGACAAGUGGAUAAAUAAAAUUAUUCCUUUUUCAAUCCGUGUCAUCUAUAUUCUGCUUGAAACUCUCAUAUAAAUAAGUAGGAAUAAGAUCCUGAAAUACAAUACGUAAGAAUAGAUAUUUACUCAUUUCAGUUGAGAUGUUCCAAAGAAUAUAUUUUUACCUACUUUCUGUAAAUUAACACAUCUUUAACUGUAGCCAUUAUUAAAGCUGAUAAUUUUAGGAUGGGAGUAUAGGACCCAGUAAGAGGCAAGAAUCUCACUAAUAAAAGACCUUAUCAGCACUUCUGAAUUUAAGGUUUAAAAAAAUUUUAUCUUGGUGAAGAGGGUAAAUAUUCAGUCAAUUCAAAGUACAAACUCUCUACUAAUGUACUUACUCACAUCUAGUGAGGGUGGAGGGAAGAGGAAGUCUGACCACACAUACUGUGAUGGAGGUGUUUGUUUCUGUUCUGUGUGGGCUUCCAGUUGGUGUGGCUCAUCCUCUGUAUAUUUGGCACUAGACUUUUUUACUAUCACAUAUGAUGAUAAUAAAACUGGCAGUUCCUAGAAUAUGGGCCUGUGCCAGUAGCUAUAACCAGACCUGCCUUUGCUUUGAUUUACAGAGUCCACAUAGCUACAAUGAUCAUCUCAACACAGGACUCCAGACCCACCUUCUUCCCAGCAUUUCUGCAGCUCCCUGGUGAUGCCUGGAUUUUCCUCUUGGGUACUCUAGGUGCCUCAUAGUCUAUGUGCAAUAUAUAGUGCUAACCCAGGCUAUAAAUCUAAACAACUCUCUGCCCUUAUUGUCUACUGUUACCUUCCCAUGUUGGAUGAGCUGCCACAUGGGAUGAAGGGCUUUUCUGAAAGCUGACUGUCCCUUUUUCAGGAUAUAUCUCAGAGAAGUCCGACACUUUCCCUAUCACCCAUUCCAUGUUGGGCCAAGGUCUUGGGUAGUGAGGGGUUGAAUUACUUAAUGUUCCUUCUGUUUCCUUUCAUAAAAAUAAAAAGUUUUGAGAUGCUACACCAUAAUAAAGAUUAUAAUUACUACAGAUUUUAUUGGCAAUCGUUUUUAUACUUUCUCCUUACAAUUUGUGUAUCUUUUUUGAAUCUAGAUUUGUAUUUCAUAUGCAUAUUACAUAAACUAUUUCACCUCAAAUGACAUUUCAAAUAAUAUUUAUAGCCCAUAAAAUGCACAAUGCUAUAUGAAAAUCCACUUAAAAUAGGGACAUUAUAAGAAAAACUAGUGAGUUAAUGUCAAAAAGUAUUCAGGGAGAGUGAAUAAAAUUUUUUUAGCAUUAUAGAAUGAGAAAAUUUGAUGCUCCCCUACUCUGUCUAAUGGGUUAUAUUGAUGGAAUUUUACCUAUCCUAUCUUAGCAU
This 6968-nucleotide long non-coding RNA is filed under the name Sus scrofa (pig). RNAcentral's name for it is "lncRNA (ENSSSCG00030044265.1)". Lineage: Eukaryota; Metazoa; Chordata; Mammalia; Artiodactyla; Suidae. The record is from RNAcentral.